CUCUCACACACUCGAGCUCACUCUCUCGUCCCCCCUCUCACCCGCCCCUUCUCGCUCUCCUCCAGAUCCCCGUCGUCGCCGGCCUCUCCUCGCCGCCGUCACCGCCCUCUCCUCGACUCCCUUUCUCUUCACCACCACGCACCCCGUUUCCUCCUACCGCGCACCCCGUACCGUAGGUCAAAAGCUUGAUUUUUUAGGCGCCGGCGACGAGCUUCUGGGCGGCGGAGGCUGGAUCCGCGUGCGUCCACGCCGGCUUCGCAGCGGCGCUUGAUGUGGAGCGGCGCUGGAGCAGCGGAGCGGGGCUUUCUUCCUCACCUCACAGCGCCGUCCUCCUCCACGACCACGCAGCCGCAGCGGCGGAGGAGCCGAAUCCCUAGCCAGCGAGCUCAGGGAGCCAUGGGUCCAUGGGGCGACGCCAUGGAAGGGCCACCAAAUACAGCAGCGAGGAGAGGAGAAAGGGAGUAGCCUGAUGACGGUCGUCUUCCACCUCCGCCUACGCCCCCGCCCUCCACCUCCACCCACGCCCCCGCCGGAAAUAGUACAAUGGCCAAGGAAAUAGGCAGGAGGCGCCGCUUCCCGGAUGGACAUGGACAUGCUUCUCCAACUCUGCUUCUUCCUGGGUCGCCAUGGAAG
This 633-nucleotide ribosomal RNA is filed under the name Triticum aestivum (bread wheat). RNAcentral describes it as "partial small subunit ribosomal RNA". The record is from RNAcentral. Lineage: Eukaryota; Viridiplantae; Streptophyta; Magnoliopsida; Poales; Poaceae.